Molecule: long non-coding RNA, 1777 nt
Organism: Equus caballus (horse)
Lineage: Eukaryota; Metazoa; Chordata; Mammalia; Perissodactyla; Equidae
Source: Ensembl
UGGAAUUCUGGCCUGUAGCAGGCCUAAGGGGUCAAAGGUCAAGGGGAGGACAAGGGGGACUUCCUAAGGUUCCCAGGGGACUGCCAGCCAAACAGGCAGCCAGCAAGCCAGGCUGUUGUGCAAGUUCUGGGCUGGACCAUGAGGGCAGGCUGGCAGAAGAGCCACGCCUGGCCCAGCCCCCGCCCGGCCUAUCCGAUCCAUGCUCUGGAGCUGGAGUAGUGCCCACUCGCCCACUCUCCUCCAGGAAAGCAGGACUCCGCCCCCCCAAGGUGAAGAAGUUGAGGUUCUGAGGAUGUGAUUAAACAGACAGCUGAUACACGGCAGAGCAGAGAGUUGCACUUGCUCUUUCCAGAUCACCUCCCUGUCCCUCAGCUCGACCCACUUUGGCUGGAGAUGGAGAGGGAGCACAAGGAAGGCCUAGGACAGCGUUUGGUUCCCAGUGGUCAUGGGAUCACUGCUGACUGAUGCUGAAUCUUGUGGAGAAGGGACUGGAUCCUGGAUGGAGCUUUGUGUCAGCUACCAAGUUCUCCUCUUACAUUCAGCAUCUGUAAAAUCAGGAGGCCUGCCCGGGCUUGUUCUCAGUGGUUGCUGGUCACCAACCUAGGGCCACCCUAACUUCUCAUGACCUUGUGAUUCCUGACUGCUCAGCUCAAGGGCUACUUCAAAAGCUGCAAAAAGGCAAAGCUGUUCAGGGAGCGGAAAGUACCCAGUCGGGGGGCGUUCAGCGAACAGGGGCUAAUCCCCUUGAAAGAAGGAUCCUACUUCGUUUUCUUUUAUUGGCUGUCCUAGACCAAAGUUUGCCCUUCUGCCUCAGUUUUCCCCUCUGGAAUCCAGACAUAAGAAUGGUGUUCCUUUCCUGGUGGCUUCAGUAUGAAUAGCUCCCUGAAUAUCAUCAUCUCCAUGUUCCAGGUGGAGGAGAAAGCUGAGGGCUCCAGCUGCCCAAGAACUAGAACUAUCUAGCAUCUUCUUUCUCUCCCACUGCCCACCCGAGGCCUGCCUCUCACCACCAUUCAUCCUCAACCUGCUCCAGGGCCCAGCCUGGCUCCAUGUAAGCAAAGCUGCCAGCAGGGUCCUUUGUGGUGCUGCUCCCGUGUGGCACUGCCUAGGGGCCCCACCAUGGGGCAACAGAUGGACCUAUGGUCUCUACAGAACAAUAGUGGGGGAGGGGCCCUGGCAUCGCCCGCCCCAAACAGGAAGCGCUGCAUGAGCUUCAAAGAACUGGCAGGGCCAAGGGGCUGAGUGGCUGGAGCCAGUGCCAGGACCGGCGGCUGCCUGAAGAGAUGCCUGCCAGCCUCAGGAUGCCCAGCCUGCAGUGGGGGUGGGGCUGCAGUGGCCAGGGCAGCUGGGUCUCCGGCAGACGAGGCUUUGCACCCUCAGUGAAGCAGCCACUGACCUGAGACAGGCUGAGGGAAGGGGGCUCAGACACCAGGCUGUUUCCUGGACCUGCUGCCACUAGCUAGCGGGGCUGCAGGUUCUUUCCCAGGCCACAGUGGGUCUGGCCCUCCAGCAAGUAACCAUGAGGGGCAGGGCUGGCACCAAGCCUGCACCCACUCCCUGCCUCCUGCUCCCAGCUGCUCUGCUCAGAGCCUUUUCCUCUCCACUUCCUGUUCACACAGGGGGGGGCGGGAAGUGGAGGGAGGAAGUUGGGGGGAGGCGUGUAGGGGGGACCCAUUGAAUAAAAGGAAUUAACCGUUUCCCUCCUCUGACCUCUGGGAAUUUCCGCCUGUGAAAGUGUCUCGAAGAAUCUGCAGAGCUGGGGGAGUGGGGAGGAGGUGUG